This 2090-nucleotide ribosomal RNA is filed under the name Rhodococcus (subgen. Prescottella) equi. RNAcentral's name for it is "Rhodococcus hoagii partial 23S ribosomal RNA". It matches the Rfam family "Bacterial large subunit ribosomal RNA", at positions 1 to 1864 of the family's 2925-position model. Lineage: Bacteria; Bacillati; Actinomycetota; Actinomycetes; Mycobacteriales; Nocardiaceae. The record is from RNAcentral.
ACAGUGGACGCGAGCAUCUUUGUUGUAAGUGUUUAAGAGCGUACGGUGGAUGCCUUGGCACCAGGAGCCGAUGAAGGACGUAGGAGGCUGCGAUAAGCCUCGGGGAGCUGUCAACCGAGCUGAGAUCCGAGGAUGUCCGAAUGGGGAAACCCAGCCACAGUGAUGUGUGGUUACCCGCGCCUGAAUAUAUAGGGCGUGUGGAGGGAACGUGGGGAAGUGAAACAUCUCAGUACCCACAGGAAGAGAAAACAACAUGUGAUUCCGUGAGUAGUGGCGAGCGAAAGCGGAAGAGGCUAAACCAUGGGUGUGUGAUAGCCGGCGGGCGUUGCAUUCGUGGGGUUGUGGGAUCCGUCUUGUCAAUUCUGCCGGAUUGGCCGACAGUGAGAAAUCAUCGUGUUAGUCGAAGUGGUCUGGAACGGCCUGUCGUAGAGGGUGAGAGUCCCGUAGACGAAAACAUGGUGACUGUCGUGACGGACACCCGAGUAGCAGCGGGCCCGUGAAAUCUGCUGUGAAUCUGUCGGGACCACCCGAUAAGCCUGAAUACUCCCUGGUGACCGAUAGCGGACUAGUACCGUGAGGGAAAGGUGAAAAGUACCCCGGGAGGGGAGUGAAAUAGUACCUGAAACCGUGCGCUUACAAUCCGUCAGAGCCUGCGCCACUUUGGUGGGUGGGUGAUGGCGUGCCUUUUGAAGAAUGAGCCUGCGAGUUAGCGGCAUGUCGCGAGGUUAACCCGUGUGGGGUAGCCGUAGCGAAAGCGAGUCCGAAUAGGGCGUUUGUAGUGGCAUGUUCUAGACCCGAAGCGGAGUGAUCUACCCAUGGCCAGGGUGAAGCGACGGUAAGACGUCGUGGAGGCCCGAACCCACUUAGGUUGAAAACUGAGGGGAUGAGCUGUGGGUAGGGGUGAAAGGCCAAUCAAACUCCGUGAUAGCUGGUUCUCCCCGAAAUGCAUUUAGGUGCAGCGUCGCGUGUUUUCACUCUGGAGGUAGAGCUACUGGAUGGCCGAUGGGCCCCACAAGGUUACUGACGUCAGCCAAACUCCGAAUGCCAGAGUGUGAGAGCGCGGCAGUGAGACUGCGGGGGAUAAGCUUCGUAGUCGAGAGGGAAACAGCCCAGAUCGCCGGCUAAGGCCCCUAAGCGUGUACUAAGUGGAAAAGGAUGUGGGGUCGCGAAGACAACCAGGAGGUUGGCUUAGAAGCACCACCCUUGAAAGAGUGCGUAAUAGCUCACUGGUCAAGUGAUCCUGCGCCGACAAUGUAGCGGGGCUCAAGUACACCGCCGAAGCCGCGGCAUUCACAUAACACCCAUGCGGGUCUACGGGCCUGUGUGCAGUGGUGUGGAUGGGUAGGGGAGCGUCGUGCAGCCAUGGAAGCGCCGGAGUGAUCCAGGUGUGGAGGCUGCACGAGUGAGAAUGCAGGCAUGAGUAGCGAAAGACGAGUGAGAAACUCGUCCGCCGAAUGACCAAGGGUUCCUGGGCCAGGUUAAUCCGCCCAGGGUGAGUCGGGACCUAAGGCGAGGCCGACAGGCGUAGUCGAUGGACAACGGGUUGAUAUUCCCGUACCCGUGUGAACGCGCCCCUGGUGAAUCAGUGAUGCUAAGCGCCCUGAAGCCGCCUUCGAACCUUCGGGUUCUCCGGGUGUGGAUGCGCGUGAACCGAUCUGGUAGUAGCCAAGCGAUGGGGUGACGCAGGAAGGUAGCUGAGCCAGUCAGUGGUAAUACUGGUGUAAGCGUGUAGGGCGUGACCUAGGCAAAUCCGGUCACACACAGCCUGAGACGUGAUGCGUAGCCGAUUGAGGCGAAUUCAGUGAUCCUAUGCUGCCGAGAAAAGCCUCUAGCGAGCUUUCACACGGCCCGUACCCCAAACCGACACAGGUGGUCAGGUAGAGAAUACUAAGGCGAUCGAGAUAACUGUGGUUAAGGAACUCGGCAAAAUGCCCCCGUAACUUCGGGAGAAGGGGGGCUCGUCUGGUGACGGAACUUGCUUCCUGAGCUGGGUGGGGCCGCAGAGACCAGAGAGAAGCGACUGUUUACUAAACCAAAAUAACAGUCCGUGCGGAAGUCGUAAGACGAUGUAUACGGACUGACGCCUGCCC